UAUUAGGUAUUGACUAUUUGUUGGUUUUGAACAAAAACGUCAUCAAAGAUGUAUGUAUCUAUCGUAUUUCGUUAAUGCCAUAUCUAAUUUUUGGCAUUUGCUUCUUAAAAUAGUGGAUUUAUAUUUUCAAUUAACUAUAUAAGGUUAAAUAAUCCUGCUCAACUUUAUUCAGUCUCCAGUCCCGUUACAAGUACAUCGUACGAUUUUGAAUAGUCGUGUGUUGAUAAAAAACGAUUUCUUGAAUAUUCAUAAGAUGACUUAACACAUUACAGGAAUACUCGAUACGCAUCUCCUGGCACAACAAUCUGAAAGUGAUAUAACUGCAGUUCGAUAAAUAGCUGUGAUGAUUACCAACCCCCUUAGAGGAGACGGUACCUAAAGAAGAAUACUCAAAAAUUUACUUAUGUAACCAUUUCUAUCUCGAAGAUAAUAGAAGCAAUACUAUCUGUGA
Molecule: long non-coding RNA, 451 nt
Organism: Diabrotica virgifera virgifera (western corn rootworm)
Lineage: Eukaryota; Metazoa; Arthropoda; Insecta; Coleoptera; Chrysomelidae
Exons: 2
Source: RefSeq, a predicted model, not a curated record